GUGCCAGCCGCCGCGGUAAUACAGAGGGUGCAAGCGUUAAUCGGAAUUACUGGGCGUAAAGCGCGCGUAGGUGGUUUGUUAAGUUGGAUGUGAAAUCCCCGGGCUCAACCUGGGAACUGCAUCCAAAACUGGCAAGCUAGAGUAUGGUAGAGGGUGGUGGAAUUUCCUGUGUAGCGGUGAAAUGCGUAGAUAUAGGAAGGAACACCAGUGGCGAAGGCGACCACCUGGACUGAUACUGACACUGAGGUGCGAAAGCGUGGGGAGCAAACAGGAUUAGAUACCCCAGUAGUCC
Molecule: ribosomal RNA, 292 nt
Filed under: uncultured Pseudomonas sp.
Lineage: Bacteria; Pseudomonadati; Pseudomonadota; Gammaproteobacteria; Pseudomonadales; Pseudomonadaceae
Description: partial 16S ribosomal RNA
Rfam family: Bacterial small subunit ribosomal RNA
Source: RNAcentral